Acanthosepion pharaonis is the source of this 114-nucleotide non-coding RNA. The record is from the annotation of a GenBank genome assembly. NCBI's taxonomy places the organism in Eukaryota, Metazoa, Mollusca, Cephalopoda, Sepiida, Sepiidae.
UUACGACCAUAUCACACUUAAACACCGAUUCACGGCAGGUCAGCGAAGUUAAGCAAUGUCGAGCCUGGCCAGUACCAAGAUGGGUGACCGCUUAGGAAUAACAGGUGCUGUAAG